CGCGAAAGGGGCUUCGGCCCUGAGUAGAGCGGCGAACGGGUGAGUAACACGUGGGUAACCUGCCUGGGAGUGGGGGAUAACCUGGGGAAACUCGGGCUAAUACCGCAUACGUUCCCGGGGCUUCGGCUCCGGGAGGAAAGAUGGCCUCUGCUUGCACGCCAUCUCUCCCAGAGGGGCCCGCGGCUGAUUAGCUUGUUGGUGGGGUAACGGCCCACCAAGGCGACGAUCAGUAGCCGGCCUGAGAGGGUGAUCGGCCACACUGGAACUGAGACACGGUCCAGACUUCUACGGGAGGCAGCAGUGGGGAAUAUUGGACAAUGGGGGAAACCCUGAUCCAGCAACGCCGCGUGGGGGAUGAAGGUCUUCGGAUUGUAAACCCCUGUUGGGAGGGACGAAGGCUUGCGGGCGAAUAGUCCGUACGCUUGAAGGUACCUGAAGAAUAAGCAUCGGCUAACUCCGUGCCAGCAGCCGCGGUAAUACGGAGGAUGCAAGCGUUAUCCGGAUUCAUUGGGUUUAAAGGGUGCGCAGGCGGAUUGGUAAGUCAGGGGUGAAAUCCCACAGCUCAACUGUGGAACUGCCUUUGAUACUGUCAGUCUAGAGUAUAGUUGAAGUUGGCGGAAUGUGUCAUGUAGCGGUGAAAUGCUUAGAUAUGACACAGAACACCGAUCGCGAAGGCAGCUAGCUAAGCUAUAACUGACGCUCAUGCACGAAAGCGUGGGGAUCAAACAGGAUUAGAUACCCUGGUAGUCCACGCUGUAAACGAUGAUUACUCGAUGUUGGCGAUACACAGUCAGCGUCUGA
RNAcentral lists this ribosomal RNA (801 nucleotides) under uncultured bacterium. Its description in RNAcentral is "bacterial SSU rRNA". It matches the Rfam family "Bacterial small subunit ribosomal RNA", at positions 67 to 850 of the family's 1533-position model. The record is from RNAcentral.